This 440-nucleotide ribosomal RNA is filed under the name uncultured bacterium. RNAcentral describes it as "bacterial SSU rRNA". It matches the Rfam family "Bacterial small subunit ribosomal RNA", at positions 338 to 770 of the family's 1533-position model. The record is from RNAcentral.
CCUACGGGAGGCUGCAGUCGAGAAUCUUUCGCAAUGGGCGAAAGCCUGACGAAGCGACGCCGUGUGUGUGAUGAAGGCCUUCGGGUUGUAAAACACUUUCGCCUGGGAACAAGAAAAGCUGGCUAAUAUCCAGCUGAUUUGAGGGUACUAGGUAAAGAAGCACCGGCUAACUCCGUGCCAGCAGCUGCGGUAAUACGGAGGGUGCAAGCGUUAAUCGGAUUUAUUGGGCGUAAAGAGCAUGUAGGUGGAGUGGAUAGUUAUAUGUGAAAGCCCGGAGCUCAACUCCGGAAUUGCAUCUAAUACUUCCAUUCUAGAGGAUGAGCGGAGAAAAGGGAAUUCCACGUGUAGCGGUGAAAUGCGUAGAUAUGUGGAAGAACACCGGUGGCGAAGGCGCUUUUCUAGUUUAUUCCUGACACUGAGAUGCGAAAGCGAGGGGAGCA